RNAcentral lists this ribosomal RNA (2927 nucleotides) under Shigella sonnei. RNAcentral's name for it is "23S ribosomal RNA". It matches the Rfam family "Bacterial large subunit ribosomal RNA". The record is from RNAcentral. Lineage: Bacteria; Pseudomonadati; Pseudomonadota; Gammaproteobacteria; Enterobacterales; Enterobacteriaceae.
GGGUUGUGAGGUUAAGCGACUAAGCGUACACGGUGGAUGCCACGGCAGUCAGAGGCGAUGAAGGACGUGCUAAUCUGCGAUAAGCGUCGGUAAGGUGAUAUGAACCGUUAUAACCGGCGAUUUCCGAAUGGGGAAACCCAGUGUGAUUCGUCACACUAUCAUUAACUGAAUCCAUAGGUUAAUGAGGCGAACCGGGGGAACUGAAACAUCUAAGUACCCCGAGGAAAAGAAAUCAACCGAGAUUCCCCCAGUAGCGGCGAGCGAACGGGGAGCAGCCCAGAGCCUGAAUCAGUGUGUGUGUUAGUGGAAGCGUCUGGAAAGGCGCGCGAUACAGGGUGACAGCCCCGUACACAAAAAUGCACAUAUUGUGAGCUCGAUGAGUAGGGCGGGACACGUGGUAUCCUGUCUGAAUAUGGGGGGCCCAUCCUCCAAGGCUAAAUACUCCUGACUGACCGAUAGUGAACCAGUACCGUGAGGGAAAGGCGAAAAGAACCCCGGCGAGGGGAGUGAAAAAGAACCUGAAACCGUGUACGUACAAGCAGUGGGAGCACGCUUAGGCGUGUGACUGCGUACCUUUUGUAUAAUGGGUCAGCGACUUAUAUUCUGUAGCAAGGUUAACCGAAUAGGGGAGCCGAAGGGAAACCGAGUCUUAACUGGGCGUUAAGUUGCAGGGUAUAGACCCGAAACCCGGUGAUCUAGCCAUGGGCAGGUUGAAGGUUGGGUAACACUAACUGGAGGACCGAACCGACUAAUGUUGAAAAAUUAGCGGAUGACUUGUGGCUGGGGGUGAAAGGCCAAUCAAACCGGGAGAUAGCUGGUUCUCCCCGAAAGCUAUUUAGGUAGCGCCUCGUGAAUUCAUCUCCGGGGGUAGAGCACUGUUUCGGCAAGGGGGUCAUCCCGACUUACCAACCCGAUGCAAACUGCGAAUACCGGAGAAUGUUAUCACGGGAGACACACGGCGGGUGCUAACGUCCGUCGUGAAGAGGGAAACAACCCAGACCGCCAGCUAAGGUCCCAAAGUCAUGGUUAAGUGGGAAACGAUGUGGGAAGGCCCAGACAGCCAGGAUGUUGGCUUAGAAGCAGCCAUCAUUUAAAGAAAGCGUAAUAGCUCACUGGUCGAGUCGGCCUGCGCGGAAGAUGUAACGGGGCUAAACCAUGCACCGAAGCUGCGGCAGCGACGCUUAUGCGUUGUUGGGUAGGGGAGCGUUCUGUAAGCCUGCGAAGGUGUGCUGUGAGGCAUGCUGGAGGUAUCAGAAGUGCGAAUGCUGACAUAAGUAACGAUAAAGCGGGUGAAAAGCCCGCUCGCCGGAAGACCAAGGGUUCCUGUCCAACGUUAAUCGGGGCAGGGUGAGUCGACCCCUAAGGCGAGGCCGAAAGGCGUAGUCGAUGGGAAACAGGUUAAUAUUCCUGUACUUGGUGUUACUGCGAAGGGGGGACGGAGAAGGCUAUGUUGGCCGGGCGACGGUUGUCCCGGUUUAAGCGUGUAGGCUGGUUUUCCAGGCAAAUCCGGAAAAUCAAGGCUGAGGCGUGAUGACGAGGCACUACGGUGCUGAAGCAACAAAUGCCCUGCUUCCAGGAAAAGCCUCUAAGCAUCAGGUAACAUCAAAUCGUACCCCAAACCGACACAGGUGGUCAGGUAGAGAAUACCAAGGCGCUUGAGAGAACUCGGGUGAAGGAACUAGGCAAAAUGGUGCCGUAACUUCGGGAGAAGGCACGCUGAUAUGUAGGUGAAGUCCCUUGCGGAUGGAGCUGAAAUCAGUCGAAGAUACCAGCUGGCUGCAACUGUUUAUUAAAAACACAGCACUGUGCAAACACGAAAGUGGACGUAUACGGUGUGACGCCUGCCCGGUGCCGGAAGGUUAAUUGAUGGGGUCAGCGCAAGCGAAGCUCUUGAUCGAAGCCCCGGUAAACGGCGGCCGUAACUAUAACGGUCCUAAGGUAGCGAAAUUCCUUGUCGGGUAAGUUCCGACCUGCACGAAUGGCGUAAUGAUGGCCAGGCUGUCUCCACCCGAGACUCAGUGAAAUUGAACUCGCUGUGAAGAUGCAGUGUACCCGCGGCAAGACGGAAAGACCCCGUGAACCUUUACUAUAGCUUGACACUGAACAUUGAGCCUUGAUGUGUAGGAUAGGUGGGAGGCUUUGAAGUGUGGACGCCAGUCUGCAUGGAGCCGGCCUUGAAAUACCACCCUUUAAUGUUUGAUGUUCUAACGUGGACCCGUGAUCCGGGUUGCGGACAGUGUCUGGUGGGUAGUUUGACUGGGGCGGUCUCCUCCUAAAGAGUAACGGAGGAGCACGAAGGUUGGCUAAUCCCUGGUCGGACAUCAGGAGGUUAGUGCAAUGGCAUAAGCCAGCUUGACUGCGAGCGUGACGGCGCGAGCAGGUGCGAAAGCAGGUCAUAGUGAUCCGGUGGUUCUGAAUGGAAGGGCCAUCGCUCAACGGAUAAAAGGUACUCCGGGGAUAACAGGCUGAUACCGCCCAAGAGUUCAUAUCGACGGCGGUGUUUGGCACCUCGAUGUCGGCUCAUCACAUCCUGGGGCUGAAGUAGGUCCCAAGGGUAUGGCUGUUCGCCAUUUAAAGUGGUACGCGAGCUGGGUUUAGAACGUCGUGAGACAGUUCGGUCCCUAUCUGCCGUGGGCGCUGGAGAACUGAGGGGGGGCUGCUCCUAGUACGAGAGGACCGGAGUGGACGCAUCACUGGUGUUCGGGUUGUCAUGCCAAUGGCACUGCCCGGUAGCUAAAUGCGGAAGAGAUAAGUGCUGAAAGCAUCUAAGCACGAAACUUGCCCCGAGAUGAGUUCUCCCUGACCCUUUAAGGGUCCUGAAGGAACGUUGAAGACGACGACGUUGAUAGGCCGGGUGUGUAAGCGCAGCGAUGCGUUGAGCUAACCGGUACUAAUGAACCGUGAGGCUUAACCUUACAACGCCGAAG